CCCGCCGUAGCUCAGCCCGGUUUAGAGCGCCCGGCUGUAGAUUGGCGCUGGUGGUGACCGGGUGGUCCGGGGUUCAAGUCCCCGCGGCGGGA
Molecule: transfer RNA, 92 nt
Filed under: Metallosphaera yellowstonensis MK1
Lineage: Archaea; Thermoproteati; Thermoproteota; Thermoprotei; Sulfolobales; Sulfolobaceae
Rfam family: tRNA
About the family: Transfer RNA (tRNA) molecules are approximately 80 nucleotides in length. Their secondary structure includes four short double-helical elements and three loops (D, anti-codon, and T loops). Further hydrogen bonds mediate the characteristic L-shaped molecular structure. tRNAs have two regions of fundamental functional importance: the anti-codon, which is responsible for specific mRNA codon recognition, and the 3' end, to which the tRNAs corresponding amino acid is attached (by aminoacyl-tRNA synthetases). tRNAs cope with the degeneracy of the genetic code in two manners: having more than one tRNA (with a specific anti-codon) for a particular amino acid; and 'wobble' base-pairing, i.e. permitting non-standard base-pairing at the 3rd anti-codon position.
Source: Rfam by way of RNAcentral